Molecule: ribosomal RNA, 254 nt
Filed under: uncultured bacterium
Lineage: Bacteria
Description: partial 16S ribosomal RNA
Rfam family: Bacterial small subunit ribosomal RNA
Source: RNAcentral
GCCGUGGGGGGCGAGCGUUGUCCGGAAUUACUGGGCGUAAAGCGCGCGUAGGCGGCUGGUUAAGUCAGAUGUGAAAUCUCCAGGGCUCAACCCGGAAACUGCAUUUGAUACUGGCCGGCUAGAGAGAUGAAGGGGCAGAUGGAAUUCCUGGUGUAGCGGUGAAAUGCAUUGAUAUCAGGAGGAACACCCGUGGCGAAGGCGGUCUGCUGGGCAUCUUCUGACGCUGAGGCGCGAAAGCAGGGGGAGAAAACGGG